RNAcentral lists this ribosomal RNA (255 nucleotides) under uncultured bacterium. Its description in RNAcentral is "partial 16S ribosomal RNA". It matches the Rfam family "Bacterial small subunit ribosomal RNA", at positions 524 to 776 of the family's 1533-position model. The record is from RNAcentral.
UACGAAGGGGGCGAGCGUUGUUCGGAUUUACUGGGCGUAAAGGGCGCGUAGGCGGCGCGAGAAGUCGAGUGUGAAAGCCCCGGGCUCAACCUGGGAAUUGCAUUUGUGACUGCAUAGCUAGAGUACGGUAGAGGGGGGAUGGAAUUCCACGUGUAGCAGUGAAAUGCGUAGAGAUGUGGAGGAACACCGAUGGCGAAGGCAGCCCCCCUGGGCUAACACUGACGCUCAUGCACGAAAGCGUGGGGAGCAAACAGG